Non-coding RNA from Lactuca sativa (garden lettuce), 977 nucleotides. The record is from RefSeq and is a predicted model, not a curated record. NCBI's taxonomy places the organism in Eukaryota, Viridiplantae, Streptophyta, Magnoliopsida, Asterales, Asteraceae.
CUUCAGAAUACCUUUUGAAAAUCAACAACAGGGGAGUCAUGAUUCACGAUAAACUCUUGAUUUUCCAUCAAUGGAAAACCCAUUUUCCAUUUCUGUGGAACUUCAACUUCCAGUGAAUACAUUGUCGUUCAUGUUGGCUGUCUUGCCAAAAUCAACCCUUUUGCUCCUCUUGACAAAGUGUGUGUCCUCAGUUGUGGGAUCUCUAGUUGUGGGAUCUUUAUAGGUCUUGGUGCUACUCUUAACGUUGCAAAACCUAAAAAAGGCUCAUCUGUUGCCAUUUUUGGAUUCGGAGUUGUAGUGCUUGCUGUGACUUUUCUAGAACUUCUAACUUUCUCAAAAAAGACUCAUUCAUGGCAAAAAAAAAAAAAAAAGCUACUGCUUUGUUUGUGAUCAGAAGGUGCGAGAAUUGCAGGUGCUUCAAGGAUGGUUGGUGUUGAUCUCAAUGCCAACAGACUUGAGCUUACAUGGUGGUAGACACAAAGAAGAAGGAGGUGGUGGAUAGGAAGUCAAUGGAUCUUAUAUGGUGGAGGCAGACUCACCGGCAUAGGCUUUGGCGGAGAUGGUGUCGCAGGAGAUGGGUAUGGCUGAAAUCCAAGAAGAAGGCUUCGGCGGAGCGGAGCCGGUCUCAUUUAUGGUAUCUUUCUCUAACUUUCACCCCCAAACUCAAUAUCACUGAAACAUUUAUGGAGGAACAGCAAGGGAGGGAAAAAAUCGUGAAGGAUAGUAGGUGAAAGAAUGAGGUGGGGUUAAUAGAGUACGUGAAGCGGUCGGCAGUAGUGGUCUUGGAAACGAUCGACUUUGAAGAGGUUUUUGAUUGGAAGCAGAAGCGGAUUCAUGUUUAAGUUUUUUAAAUAAUUUAUCUUUCUUGAAAAAAAUGCAAAAAUUAAAUUAUGUUAUCUUAUUAGAAUUACCAUUUUUUAUUGUCCGCAACGUUAUUUUACUCUUCGUUACUUUUGAAUCUUACUUUUUUUGUUUUC